This 543-nucleotide ribosomal RNA is filed under the name uncultured Eurotiomycetes. RNAcentral's name for it is "SSU rRNA". It matches the Rfam family "Eukaryotic small subunit ribosomal RNA", at positions 549 to 1098 of the family's 1831-position model. Lineage: Eukaryota; Fungi; Ascomycota; Eurotiomycetes. The record is from RNAcentral.
UGGAGGGCAAGUCUGGUGCCAGCAGCCGCGGUAAUUCCAGCUCCAAUAGCGUAUAUUAAAGUUGUUGCAGUUAAAAAGCUCGUAGUUGAACCUUGGGUCUGGCUGGCCGGUCCGCCUCGCCGCGAGUACUGGUCCGGCUGGACCUUUCCUUCUGGGGAACCCCAUGGCCUUCACUGGCUGUGGGGGGAACCGGGACUUUUACUGUGAAAAAAUUAGAGUGUUCAAAGCAGGCCUUUGCUCGAAUACAUUAGCAUGGAAUAAUAGAAUAGGACGUGUGGUUCUAUUUUGUUGGUUUCUAGGACCGCCGUAAUGAUUAAUAGGGAUAGUCGGGGGCGUCAGUAUUCAGCUGUCAGAGGUGAAAUUCUUGGAUUUGCUGAAGACUAACUACUGCGAAAGCAUUCGCCAAGGAUGUUUUCAUUAAUCAGGGAACGAAAGUUAGGGGAUCGAAGACGAUCAGAUACCGUCGUAGUCUUAACCAUAAACUAUGCCGACUAGGGAUCGGACGGGAUUCUAUAAUGACCCGUUCGGCGCCUUACGGGAAAC